GCUGGUCCUCAUUUAGCUCAUUUGACCUCUCCAGUGGUGCCUCAUGAACAGUCUCUCAUGGGUAAUUCUUGUGCAAAGCUGUAGGUGCUCUCCGCACCCAGAGAGGGCAGGGGCUUCCUCGUGUAUAAUUACACAAUAAGCCUGAGCAAUGGGUUGCCGGUCUUUCUGAAGGAUUGUGUGCAAGUGUGUGGUUUAUACAAUGUCUGAGAAAACAUAAGACUGAGUUGAUGCCAUUUAGUAAUGCCUUUUUCUCCUCUAGAAAAUACUUGGCUCUGAAGAGAGGCACGGAGGAAAUUGCUGAUAGAUUUGCACCAAAGAGAGCAGCGCUUGCUGGAGAAAUUGCUGUCUAACAUCCUUUGUGGACUUCCGACCAAAACCAUCCAGUGCAACAUAUGCUCCAGGUAUCCUGCUUGAUGGCUCAUUUAAGACCAAGAUUUCCUUUGUGGGCCAGGAGUAAAAUCCGAAUUUCCCUCCAAUACAGAGGACAUUCAGAAGGGGAAGCUGACCAGAACCCAGACUCAUCUGGCUACCAUGGGCAUCUCCCACUGCAUCAUUCAGGACCUGAGGUAUGUACUUAUUUCUUGAAGCACAGACAUGGUGUACAUAGCCUUAAACUAUUCUGACUGCAUUUUCUCUAUAUGAGGCACCAAG
This 651-nucleotide long non-coding RNA is filed under the name Calidris pugnax (ruff). RNAcentral describes it as "lncRNA (ENSCPUG00000007739.1)". Lineage: Eukaryota; Metazoa; Chordata; Aves; Charadriiformes; Scolopacidae. The record is from RNAcentral.